Non-coding RNA from Parasteatoda tepidariorum (common house spider), 374 nucleotides. NCBI's taxonomy places the organism in Eukaryota, Metazoa, Arthropoda, Arachnida, Araneae, Theridiidae. The record is from RefSeq and is a predicted model, not a curated record.
UCGUGCUUUAAUGACAAUUUAUUACGUACAUAAGAUGUUAUUUCUAGAUUUUAAUUUAAUCUUUAUCACCCAGCCUUUUAUCAGAACAGGCGAAAUUUUCAUGAAAAAGGUUUUAAAUAUGACAAUAUGAUGCGUGGUACCCAUUUUAUCGAAUCUCUGAAGAGUUGGAAGCCUGAGUCAGCUUUGCCCAAUCCAAGGAUAGAACACAAGAACUGAGGAACGUGAGCGCUAAGCGCAUCUACUUGGCUUCAAUAUAGAAUAAAUACACAUUCAAUAUAAGCUAAAUUCACCAGUCGUUAGCUUGUUAUGGAGAAUAAAAUUUAUGAGAAAAAAUGUUUGUUAACUGAUUUUUGAUUAAAAAAUGCUUAAGUUUG